UUCCAGAAUCAAUAGAGGAAACCAAAGAAAGGAGACACGUGGUCUGAAAUUAAUACAGCUGGUGAAGUCAGACUUAAAGCAGGUUCAUUUAUUUACAGUUGACUUGAAUAACUGAAACAUGGAUUUUAUAAUUAGAAUGUCUUGGAAAAAGCAACCUAAUUUACAGGUGGACACAAAAAGGUAACGUGGGCUUUACUAGUUUUAGUAUUGAGUUGUAUUAUACCCUUGAUUUGGUAAU
Molecule: long non-coding RNA, 238 nt
Filed under: Homo sapiens (human)
Lineage: Eukaryota; Metazoa; Chordata; Mammalia; Primates; Hominidae
Description: HSALNT0146633
Source: RNAcentral